This 401-nucleotide long non-coding RNA is filed under the name Homo sapiens (human). Its description in RNAcentral is "HSALNT0401810". The record is from RNAcentral. Lineage: Eukaryota; Metazoa; Chordata; Mammalia; Primates; Hominidae.
CUGCUGUCUUGAUGACGCACAGUGCUGGCGCAAGUCGUCUUGCGCCAGGCGACUGGGUCUGAGGAGGCAGGAGUUAUUCAUUCCCUUAAGCUUUCAGGCCGGGGGGAGAAUCUUUCAGGUGGUAGCUGCAAGAACUCUUAGUAUGUUGACCUCACCUCUGCCUUCCACAUACCACUACCAGUGAGGAAUUAGGAAUGCAUGAGAAGAGUGUCCAAGAAGAGUGUCCUCAUUCAUGCAAGGCUUAAGAGAGAAUGCAGGUCAACAUCACCAUGUCAAUCAGAGGCCUCCAUCGCUGCAGUGCAGAAAAAAAUGGAAAGGAAUGGCUGGAAGAAUUCUGGAUUAAGGAAGAAGUUCCUGUUCAUUCAUUAAGCACUUUUUUUUAAAGUUACAAAAAAACUAAU